AAUGAAAGUUUGAGCCUUUUAUCUUGACCUGUCCUAUACUUUUUGUUCCAAUUAAUCCUUUGGGAAAGGAGUUUCGUGGUGUAAAACGUUGAUUUUGGGGACACAAUUCAGUAGCAGCUUCCACCUGUCCCUCCGAAGAAGCUGCAUUUAGUUUAACUGUUUGGAGUUCUUAGCGUCCCAUGCUUGCUGCUUCUGUUUCAGCUGUCGGCGCUUUUGUUCAACAAGGCUGGAGUUGGCUAAAUUUGUGCAGGCAGGAACAAUAUGUCCAUCUUCGCCGCACUUGAAGCAAAACCAAGGCUUGGGCCUGGUGGAGACAUUGACUUUUGGCUUUAACUUACUCUGCCGGUAAUCUGGUGCAGAGGCGGGAAUUUUCUUCGCCAGCAAAGCAGACAUCUGAUUUUGCAGUUUUACCAUUUGUUGUUUCAGUUCAUCAAUGGCGCUGGUGUCCGUGCGGCCACAGACACAGGAGGAUGCACUCUGAGACUGCAGGUUGGCACGAUGUUUCGAGGAUGUAAUGUGUUUCUUCAUUAAGGACUCUUUGGCCAACUGCCUGUCCUCUUCGAUCCGGAGCAGGAACAAAAGUUCGGAGAAGGUAGGUGGAUUGUCUUUUUUUUGCUCAAGCUGUAAUUUUGUAAUGACAACAUUGUCCCAGCAUCCUCUGCAGAACUGUUUCAAUAGAUGCUUGUCAGUGUCUCUUGCUGGGAUUCCGCCCCGCUUCACAACUGUGCUCAGUGUCAGUUGCAGUCUUUGCAGGAAGGAAGACCCUCGCUCUCCGUGGUCCUGAAGAGUGUUUAGGAACUGAGCGAAGAGCUCUUCUCCAUCCUGGACAGUGGCAAAGGCUGAGUCGAGCACUUGGGUGAACAUGAUUGGUAAAGAGUUGGGCCCCAAGCUUUUAACAAGGUCGGCAGCUGGAGGGAGCAGGCUUUCUAGAAUGCGCCUUGUAACGUGCAGUGGCGACAAGGAAUCCUUCCAGAAAAUGUUCGUAGGCGCAGUGGGGACAAGGAUUGGAGGCUCAUGUCGUCCUUUCUCACAAUGUGCUCCACGACAACCCUCUGUACUUCUGGGGGAUUCAAGUCGUGUCCAGAAAGAGAAAUCAGCUGUCCUGGAUUGGCAGCUGUAUUGACUAGAGGAGGGUCUGCUGAUUGGCCAGUGGAAGAAUGACCCACCGACUGAGAAGUUGAUGGCAUCUGAGACACAAGGGUUGAACCUGACAUGGUCUGCCCCGUCUCCAGUACAUCAACUGUAGUCUCUUGUCUCUCCUCAUCUUCAUCAUCAUCAUCAUUUCCUCCGACUUCUGCCAGAUGUCCACUUAUUUGAUCCAUUACCUCUUUAAUAACUUCUUCAAAGGGUUUUCCACAUCGGUAAGCAAUGCGUUUGAGCUCAUGGAGGUAAUCAGUGGAAGGUACAGUGGGGGCAGGAAUGAUGGCAGUACUCCCCCCUGUGGCUGUGGCAUAAAGUUCAUCCGCAAGUAGUUUUAUUUCACAGACUAAACCAGACUUGCUCUGUGAUUCAAAUUUAUAUGGCAAAAGAGGCUUCAAUUUAUUCAAAGCUGCGUAUGUAUCAUAUUCAACAAUCAGGUUUUUGUAAAAAGAACUGUCAGAAUCUGUAACAGUAAAUGCCAUUUUUAAAUCCCCAUAAGUACGCAAAUAAUCAAUCAACUCAUCAUCUGCUUGAGUGUUAGUCACACCGGUAGCAAAAACACAAUGGGAAACCUCAACCCCUGUUUUUUCAAUGAAAUCCAUUUCAGACACUUCUGAUGCAAGUUUAGUCAAAAAACAAAAAACAAUCUCAGUAAUUCACAAUGAAUAUUCACACAUCAGACUCCUGGCUAGCUUGCCAAAUGUAACGCUUGUUAAAGGCUAAUGACAAGGAACUGACUAUAUAGAUGUAGAAAGAUGUUACCAGAAGAGGGUUCGUUGAGGAGCCCGAGGUGUGAAUAAUCACAGAGACAAAAAUAAGGUUUAACUAGUUUUGUAUUAAAGUGGCCAAGACACACACAAAAAAAAAAAACAACAAACACACAAACAUUAAUAACAAAACAGUUUUUGAUUAAUUGUCCCCAAGGUUCAGUUAGGUUAGAUUGUUAGUCCAUACGCUAUGGUAAUCCAGGGUUGGGAAGAGAAUAGUUUUUAUCCUUAUAGGAAAGAAGAGUCUGUAUCCUACCGCACAGGUAGAGGUCUUAGCUCGCCAUCUUCAGUUGAAUUAGAAGAAAAAAAAGUUGUUGUGAACCAGAUUGUAGUGAGGGUGAUGUCCUUUUUCUGGCAUAAAAAAAAAA
Cyprinodon tularosa is the source of this 2275-nucleotide long non-coding RNA. RefSeq lists it as uncharacterized. The record is from RefSeq and is a predicted model, not a curated record. The transcript is spliced from 2 exons. Lineage: Eukaryota; Metazoa; Chordata; Actinopteri; Cyprinodontiformes; Cyprinodontidae.